RNAcentral lists this ribosomal RNA (500 nucleotides) under uncultured bacterium. RNAcentral describes it as "partial 16S ribosomal RNA". It matches the Rfam family "Bacterial small subunit ribosomal RNA", at positions 29 to 523 of the family's 1533-position model. The record is from RNAcentral.
AUUGAACGCUGGCGGCAUGCCUUACACACGCAAGUCGAACGGCAGCACGGGGGCAACCCUGGUGGCGAGUGGCGAACGGGUGAGUAACGCAUCGGAAUGUACCCAGUAGUGGGGGAUAACUAGUCGAAAGACUGGCUAAUACCGCAUACGCACUACGGUGGAAAGCGGGGGAUCGCAAGACCUCGCGCUAUUGGAGCAGCCGAUGUCCGAUUAGGUAGUUGGUGGGGUAAAAGCCUACCAAGCCUGCGAUCGGUAGCUGGUCUGAGAGGACGACCAGCCACACUGGGACUGAGACACGGCCCAGACUCCUACGGGAGGCAGCAGUGGGGAAUUUUGGACAAUGGGGGCAACCCUGAUCCAGCAAUGCCGCGUGUGUGAAGAAGGCCUUCGGGUUGUAAAGCACUUUUGGUGGGAACGAAACGGCGCUUGCUAAUACCAGGCGCUAAUGACGGUACCCGCAGAAUAAGCACCGGCUAACUACGUGCCAGCAGCCGCUGUAA